AUGGAGUGGACGUGCGUGUCGUGCGGCGAGGGCCCGGUGAUUCCGGAACCGGCCUCGGGCGUGCUCGUCUGCACCGCCUGCGGCGUUGUCCAUGACGCCGUCGCCGACGAGUUCAUCAACUCCACCUGCUUCACCGAGGGCGGGGAACUCGACCGUCGCGCCGCCACCACCGUCCACCAUAGCUCCCAGUCCCCCUACCUCGACCACAAACUCUACGCCGCCUCCGACGUCAUCACCUCCAUGGCCGCCCGCUUCUCACUCUCGGCCAGCCGCGUCGACGAGGUCCUCAGAAUAGCCCAAUCCGCCACCAACAGGAAUCUCGCCUGCCUGGGCACUGCCUUUCUCCCUGCGCUCGCAGCCGCCUGCACCUUGCUCGUCGCGCGAUCCCACCGCCUUCCGAUCUCCUUCGCCGAGGCCGCUGAGGCCGCGGCCUGCACCACGUUCGUGCUCGCUAACCUUGUGUACCGCAUCGCCUCCCAACUCUACCUCCCUCCCCUCCCGUCCUUUGACUACUCCGCCGCGCUCGAACGCGCGGUGGAACGCUCAGGCAAGCUCACCGAAGCUGCGGGUGAGAAGAGGGAUGCCAUCCUUUCCCAAGCCCGAUUUCUCCUCUGA
This 615-nucleotide ribosomal RNA is filed under the name Triticum aestivum (bread wheat). RNAcentral's name for it is "partial small subunit ribosomal RNA". Lineage: Eukaryota; Viridiplantae; Streptophyta; Magnoliopsida; Poales; Poaceae. The record is from RNAcentral.